GUCCACGGCCACGCCACCCUGAACAAGCCUGAUCCCGUCUGAUCUCAGAAGCUAAGCCGGGUCAGGCCUGGUUAGUACUUGGGUGGGAGACCACCUAGGAAGACCAGGUGCCGUAAGCA
This 119-nucleotide ribosomal RNA is filed under the name Pteropus alecto (black flying fox). Lineage: Eukaryota; Metazoa; Chordata; Mammalia; Chiroptera; Pteropodidae. The record is from RNAcentral.